Molecule: long non-coding RNA, 1882 nt
Organism: Coregonus clupeaformis (lake whitefish)
Lineage: Eukaryota; Metazoa; Chordata; Actinopteri; Salmoniformes; Salmonidae
Exons: 2
Source: RefSeq, a predicted model, not a curated record
UACAUACUAGCAAGAUUGUUGUUGAAUGCAGGGCCAGGCAUACAUAAAUAGAUUAGACAACGGAGAUACUCCCAAAACAUCCUGCUAAAAAUCCUGGUAGUUGUCGAGUUUUGGACUAUGUUGUCUCUAUUUUGCAUUAUCAUUGACUAAAGGAAGACAAGCUACCUAAAUGUGAGUUAUCGGCUAGUACUGAAGCAGGAUAUGUUUUUGAGUUACGUUUUUAGCCCAAAGCCUUUAUUGAAGCAAAACAACAGCUGAAGGUAGGCAACUUCUUGAGCUUGACUGGCUGUCAUUUAAAAAUCUAGCGUUAGCCGCGCUAGCUUGCGAUUAGCAUGAAGACACUGAAAAGCUCACAUAAAGGAAAGUUGACCAGUGACAACUUUGUAAAACCUUUACUAACAUCUACAACAUAUCAGCUUUCGAACAGAGUAGACUUUAAUGUUCACGUUCACUUCGUUUUUGGAAUAUUUACAUUCCAUCGAAGCCCAUUAGGGUAAAAUAACUUCAGGCAUAUAACAAUACUAUAUACUACUGCUUCAAAGGAAUAGGGUUCCCAUUCCUUCUGCUUUAUUUUCACACAAUUGUGUCUUGUAGAAGGGAACCAUGAAGAGGAGCGUGGAGUGGGCAAGGGGGAGGCUGAUAAAGCAGCAGAGAAGACCUGAUUCAUCAAGUAUCACAGUUAAUUCUGGUCAUUCUCACCUGGUUGGCAUGCACAACACGGCAAGGAAUGCAACAUUAAGCCCAAUAAAAUAUCCAAUGUUAUUUAACAGGGAUGCAAACUAGUUACCGUUCAGCGAAAUUCGCCAUUUUGAAUCCAAAAUAGGUAACCUAUGUGAUUCGUGUAGAUCCGAUGUGAAAAGCUUUUUAUUUAUUUAUUUUUUAUCACUACUGGCUGUAAGCGAACGAGUGAUGCACGUUUGGAGCAAUACUGGCUGUAUCCAAGUCUCAGCCAAUCGUUUACAUAACAACAUAGUUACAGCAUCAGCGUGCGCUCUGGAAAGACAGCGGAGAGUAGAAAGGCAGUUUGCCAGUUACAGCAGCGUGGCCCCUGAGCGAUAACGAAGAGGUAGGUGUGAAGCCUGACGACGGGGGUGAGAAGGUGAUGAAGCAUACUUCAUGAGCUGUAACCAAAAAACAACUGGCAUUUGGAAAGUUUGAGGUGAGGGAGCAAGUGUGGUGGAACAAGAAUUGCUAGCAUUGUUAAGUAUCUUGCUAGCUGGAUCGAAUUCUCUGUUAGUAGUUAGUUCGUUAGCUAGUUAACUAGCUAUCUAUUAACUCAUGUUUUCCCUCUACAGUAUGUGGUUAAUUUUCAGAAUGAGAGAAUUAGGUGAAAAUGAGGCGUCGCUUGUUAAACAAGUGGAUUCAGGGAUCAAGUGUAGCUGGAGCUGGGCCUGGUUUAAGCUGGAUGCCACUAUAGAGGUGAAAGGAACACCACACACUGGAUGCCACUAUAGAGACCUGAGGCUCUUUGACUGCGACUGAGGACAACCUGGCCUGACACCUGGACUGGACGUGCCUGACCCAAUCCCACCUUGCCCCCUUCUACCAGCCUGUUGUUGCCUCCACUGGUUCUUCAUCCCCUUCAAGUCACUGACCCUCUCCCCACACACCCAGAAACUUGUAUUUCAUUACUUACCAUAUGACUUUAUUAAAAGGCAUCUGUCAAUAGGGUCUUGAAGUGUGAGUACUUUCUCAUAGUCAUUAUGGAUAUUGUCUGAGCCUGCUGGCAAUUAAUACUGGUAUUGCCCUUUCCUUAAUGAAAUGGUGAAUAAAGGAAGACUAUGACUUCAUUUUCAAUUAAAACACAAUGAAGACAUUGUUAGAGUGCUUUUAUACUGUAUCUCUGUAUUACAGCAAAUCAAAUAAAGGUUAGUUCAAACUG